RNAcentral lists this transfer RNA (69 nucleotides) under Artibeus hartii (little fruit-eating bat). Its description in RNAcentral is "tRNA-His". It matches the Rfam family "tRNA". From Rfam's summary of the family: Transfer RNA (tRNA) molecules are approximately 80 nucleotides in length. The record is from RNAcentral. Lineage: Eukaryota; Metazoa; Chordata; Mammalia; Chiroptera; Phyllostomidae.
GUAAGCAUAGUUUAACCAAAACAUUAGAUUGUGAAUCUAAAAACAGAAAUUAAUUCCUUCUUGCUUACC